GAUAGCCUUGUCUUUUUCUUAGGGGUCUCCUGUGUCUGUGAUUUCAUAUAUGGCUGGCUGAUAUUCCCAAGGCAGGUGACACCACAUUUUUAAGAAAAGUAUACACAGACUACUUGUGAGUCUAUGUGACCUGUCUUGUAAAGAAAAGAUAACCACAAACACAUCCUUGUGUUCUAUAAGGCUGGUAAGUUCCAGUGAGAAGAAAGAACAUGAAAAGGCACCCUGGGAAGUGUCUAAGAUGACUGCCAAUGAUCCCAACCUCCUGGUGUUCAUGACCUUGUGUAAUCACUUCAUAUAAACUCUUUCUCUUGCCUCCUUAAAUCAGCACGUUUCCAUGUUGGAGAAUUCUGCAUGGCAAGGUAUUGUGAGUGUCUUCUGGCUAGCAGCUAACAAGAAAGUGAAUACCCUCAGUUCAAUAAUUCUUGAGGCACUGAAUCCUGCCAAAAAUCCUGUGAUUGGAUCCUUGGAAGUGGAUCAUUCUCCAAAGGAGCCUUCAGAUGAAACCCCAUCCUUGUAUGAUAACUUGAUUAUAGACUUGUGAGAGACCUUAAAGCAGAAAACCUAGAUAAUCUGUCAUAUUCCUGACCCACAGAAACUGUGAGACAACAAAUGUGCAUUUUUAUGCCACUACAUUUUUAGGUGACUUACUACAUUUUAAUAGGUAAUAACACCCUUUAUAGAUAAUGUUUUAUUUGAUGAUUUAUUUUUCCAUUAUUCAUUAAAAAUUUUUAAGGUAAGUAUAUACUUAGUUGAUCAUCAUUAUUCACAAAUUCUGCAUCUGCAAAUUCACCUACUUGCUAAAGUCCAUUUAUAACCCCAAAAUCAAUACUCACAGCACUUUUGCAAUUAUUUGCAGACACACAGAGAGCAGCAAAAAUGUGAGUCACCUCAUGUGCACAUUCCCAGUUGAGUUAGAACAAGGCAAUACUCUGGCUUCUUGUUUCAGAGAAGACCAGAGGAUGGAGACAGAAGGGGCAGCACAGUAAUGUGCAAGAAGCUACAGCUGUUAAUAGAGUGACAUUAGGCAAGUUAAUUAACACUUCUAAACCUCAUUUUCUCUUUUG
Molecule: long non-coding RNA, 1064 nt
Organism: Callithrix jacchus (white-tufted-ear marmoset)
Lineage: Eukaryota; Metazoa; Chordata; Mammalia; Primates; Cebidae
Source: RefSeq, a predicted model, not a curated record